AACGAACGCUGGCGGCAUGCCUAACACAUGCGAGUCGAACGAGACCUUCGGGUCUAGUGGCGCAUGGGUGCGUAACGCGUGGGAACCUGCCCUUAGGUUCGGAAUAACUCCCCGAAAGGGGUGCUAAUACCGGAUAAUGUCUUCGGACCAAAGAUUUAUCGCCUUUGGAUGGGCCCGCGUUGGAUUAGCUAGUUGGUAGGGUAAAAGCCUACCAAGGCGACGAUCCAUAGCUGGUCUGAGAGGAUGAUCAGCCACACUGGGACUGAGACACGGCCCAGACUCCUACGGGAGGCAGCAGUGGGGAAUAUUGGACAAUGGGCGAAAGCCUGAUCCAGCAAUGCCGCGUGAGUGAUGAAGGCCUUAGGGUUGUAAAGCUCUUUUACCCGGGAUGAUAAUGACAGUACCGGGAGAAUAAGCUCCGGCUAACUCCGUG
RNAcentral lists this ribosomal RNA (433 nucleotides) under uncultured bacterium. Its description in RNAcentral is "partial 16S ribosomal RNA". It matches the Rfam family "Bacterial small subunit ribosomal RNA", at positions 29 to 507 of the family's 1533-position model. The record is from RNAcentral.